RNAcentral lists this non-coding RNA (23 nucleotides) under Arabidopsis thaliana (thale cress). The record is from RNAcentral. Lineage: Eukaryota; Viridiplantae; Streptophyta; Magnoliopsida; Brassicales; Brassicaceae.
UAGAAGUGCAAGUCCGAAGGCCA